CCUACGGGUGGCAGCAGUGAGGAAUAUUGGUCAAUGGACGAGAGUCUGAACCAGCCAAGUAGCGUGAAGGAUGACUGCCCUAUGGGUUGUAAACUUCUUUUAUCUGGGAAUAAAAGAUUCCACGUGUGGGAUUUUGUAGGUACCAUAUGAAUAAGGAAGGGCUAACUACGUGCCAGCAGCCGCGGUAAUACGGAGGAUCCGAGCGUUAUCCGGAUUUAUUGGGUUUAAAGGGAGCGUAGGUGGAUUGUUAGGUCAGCUGUGAAAGUUUGCGGCUCAACCGUAAAAUUGCAGUUGAGACUGGCAGUCUUGAGUACAGUAGAGGUGGGCGGAAUUCGUGGUGUAGCGGUGAAAUGCUUAGAUAUCACGAAGAACUCCGAUUGCGAAGGCAGUUCACUGGACUGCAACUGACACUGAGGCUCGAAAGUGUGGGUAUCAAACAGGAUUAGAUACCCUUGUAGUC
This 460-nucleotide ribosomal RNA is filed under the name uncultured bacterium. RNAcentral's name for it is "partial 16S ribosomal RNA". It matches the Rfam family "Bacterial small subunit ribosomal RNA", at positions 338 to 795 of the family's 1533-position model. The record is from RNAcentral.